Molecule: small RNA, 1041 nt
Filed under: uncultured Pelagibacterales bacterium
Lineage: Bacteria; Pseudomonadati; Pseudomonadota; Alphaproteobacteria; Candidatus Pelagibacterales
Description: bacterial SSU rRNA
Rfam family: Bacterial small subunit ribosomal RNA (bases 1-658)
Source: RNAcentral
CACCGCCUGGGGAGUACGACCGCAAGGUUAAAACUCAAAUGAAUUGACGGGGACCCGCACAAGUAGUGGAGCAUGUGGUUUAAUUCGAAGAUACGCGCAGAACCUUACCAACACUUGACAUGUUCGUCGCGACUUUAAGAGAUUAAAGUUUUCGGUUCGGCCGGACGAAACACAGGUGCUGCAUGGCUGUCGUCAGCUCGUGUCGUGAGAUGUUGGGUUAAGUCCCGCAACGAGCGCAACCCUCACUUUUAGUUGCCAUCAUUUAGUUGGGCACUCUGAAAGAACUGCCAGUGAUAAGCUGGAGGAAGGUGGGGAUGACGUCAAGUCCUCAUGGCCCUUACGUGUUGGGCUACACACGUGCUACAAUGGUAUCUACAACAGGAAGCAAAAUCGCGAGGUUAAGCAAAUCCUCAAAAGAUACCUCAGUUCGGAUUGCACUCUGCAACUCGAGUGCAUGAAGCUGGAAUUACUAGUAAUCGUGGAUCAGCGUGCCACGGUGAAUGCGUUCCCGGGUCUUGUACACACCGCCCGUCACACCAUGGGAGUUGGUUCUACCUUAAGGCAAGGUUUUAAACCCUUGACCACGGUAUAGUCAGCGACUGGGGUGAAGUCGUAACAAGGUAGCCGUAGGGGAACCUGCGGCUGGAUUACCUCCUUUCUAAGGAUGAAUGAAAGUUAAAUUUCAUUCUAAAUAAUAUACAGGUAAUGUUGACCGUCCUCAUUUCUCUUCUUAAAGUAGUGUUUCUCUUGCAUGGGGGCCGGUAGCUCAGUUGGUUAGAGCACACCCUUGAUAAGGGUGGGGUCGAAAGUUCGAGUCUUUCUCGGCCCACCAAAAUAAGAUCAUGGGGGAUUAGCUCAGCUGGGAGAGCGCCUGAUUUGCAUUCAGAGGUCAGCGGUUCGAUCCCGCUAUCCUCCACCAAACACUUAGUUAUAAAAAUUCGUAAAUAAAUAAUAAUUAAUAUCAAUAUCUAUAUCCGAACAUUAGAAAUGUUAUUAGCUAAUGUUCAAAUAAAAUUUGAUUCACACAGAAUUUUUUUUCUG